GAUCCUGGCUCAGGAUGAACGCUGGCGGCGUGCUUAACACAUGCAAGUCGAACGAAGCACUUUAUUUGAUUUCCUUCGGGACUGAUUAUUUUGUGACUGAGUGGCGGACGGGUGAGUAACGCGUGGGUAACCUGCCUUGUACAGGGGGAUAACAGUUGGAAACGGCUGCUAAGUACCGCAUAAGCGCACAGCAUCGCAUGAUGCAGUGUGAAAAACUCCGGUGGUAUAAGAUGGACCCGCG
This 241-nucleotide ribosomal RNA is filed under the name uncultured bacterium. RNAcentral's name for it is "partial 16S ribosomal RNA". It matches the Rfam family "Bacterial small subunit ribosomal RNA", at positions 15 to 235 of the family's 1533-position model. The record is from RNAcentral.